This 1136-nucleotide ribosomal RNA is filed under the name Salmonella enterica. RNAcentral describes it as "bacterial SSU rRNA". It matches the Rfam family "Bacterial small subunit ribosomal RNA", at positions 1 to 1126 of the family's 1533-position model. The record is from RNAcentral. Lineage: Bacteria; Pseudomonadati; Pseudomonadota; Gammaproteobacteria; Enterobacterales; Enterobacteriaceae.
AAAUUGAAGAGUUUGAUCAUGGCUCAGAUUGAACGCUGGCGGCAGGCCUAACACAUGCAAGUCGAACGGUAACAGGAAGCAGCUUGCUGCUUCGCUGACGAGUGGCGGACGGGUGAGUAAUGUCUGGGAAGCUGCCUGAUGGAGGGGGAUAACUACUGGAAACGGUGGCUAAUACCGCAUAACGUCGCAAGACCAAAGAGGGGGACCUUCGGGCCUCUUGCCAUCAGAUGUGCCCAGAUGGGAUUAGCUAGUUGGUGAGGUAACGGCUCACCAAGGCGACGAUCCCUAGCUGGUCUGAGAGGAUGACCAGCCACACUGGAACUGAGACACGGUCCAGACUCCUACGGGAGGCAGCAGUGGGGAAUAUUGCACAAUGGGCGCAAGCCUGAUGCAGCCAUGCCGCGUGUAUGAAGAAGGCCUUAGGGUUGUAAAGUACUUUCAGCGGGGAGGAAGGUGUUGUGGUUAAUAACCGCAGCAAUUGACGUUACCCGCAGAAGAAGCACCGGCUAACUCCGUGCCAGCAGCCGCGGUAAUACGGAGGGUGCAAGCGUUAAUCGGAAUUACUGGGCGUAAAGCGCACGCAGGCGGUCUGUCAAGUCGGAUGUGAAAUCCCCGGGCUCAACUUGGGAACUGCAUUCGAAACUGGCAGGCUUGAGUCUUGUAGAGGGGGGUAGAAUUCCAGGUGUAGCGGUGAAAUGCGUAGAGAUCUGGAGGAAUACCGGUGGCGAAGGCGGCCCCCUGGACAAAGACUGACGCUCAGGUGCGAAAGCGUGGGGAGCAAACAGGAUUAGAUACCCUGGUAGUCCACGCCGUAAACGAUGUCUACUUGGAGGUUGUGCCCUUGAGGCGUGGCUUCCGGAGCUAACGCGUUAAGUAGACCGCCUGGGGAGUACGGCCGCAAGGUUAAAACUCAAAUGAAUUGACGGGGGCCCGCACAAGCGGUGGAGCAUGUGGUUUAAUUCGAUGCAACGCGAAGAACCUUACCUGGUCUUGACAUCCACAGAAGAAUCCAGAGAUGGAUUUGUGCCUUCGGGAACUGUGAGACAGGUGCUGCAUGGCUGUCGUCAGCUCGUGUUGUGAAAUGUUGGGUUAAGUCCCGCAACGAGCGCAACCCUUAUCCUUUGUUGCCAGCGGUC